CCUACGGGAGGCAGCAGUGAGGAAUAUUGGUCAAUGGACGAGAGUCUGAACCAGCCAAGUAGCGUGAAGGAUGACUGCCCUAUGGGUUGUAAACUUCUUUUAUAUGGGAAUAAAAUGUUCCACGUGUGGGAUUUUGUAUGUACCAUAUGAAUAAGGAUCGGCUAACUCCAUGCCAGCAGCCGCGGUAAUACGGAGGAUCCGAGCGUUAUCCGGAUUUAUUGGGUUUAAAGGGAGCGUAGGUGGAUUGUUAAGUCAGUUGUGAAAGUUUGCGGCUCAACCGUAAAAUUGCAGUUGAAACUGGCAGUCUUGAGUACAGUAGAGGUGGGCGGAAUUCGUGGUGUAGCGGUGAAAUGCUUAGAUAUCACGAAGAACUCCGAUUGCGAAGGCAGUUCACUGGACUGCAACUGACACUGAGGCUCGAAAGUGUGGGUAUCAAACAGGAUUAGAUACCCGAGUAGUC
This 460-nucleotide ribosomal RNA is filed under the name uncultured bacterium. RNAcentral's name for it is "partial 16S ribosomal RNA". It matches the Rfam family "Bacterial small subunit ribosomal RNA", at positions 338 to 795 of the family's 1533-position model. The record is from RNAcentral.